CAACUUUCAACAACGGAUCUCUUGGCUCUCGCAUCGAUGAAGAACGCAGCGAAAUGCGAUAAGUAAUGUGAAUUGCAGAAUUCAGUGAAUCAUCGAAUCUUUGAACGCAUCUUGCGCUCCUUGGUAUUCUGAGGAGCAUGCCUGUUUGAGUGUCAUUA
RNAcentral lists this ribosomal RNA (158 nucleotides) under uncultured Amanita. Its description in RNAcentral is "5.8S ribosomal RNA". It matches the Rfam family "5.8S ribosomal RNA". Rfam says of the family: 5.8S ribosomal RNA (5.8S rRNA) is a component of the large subunit of the eukaryotic ribosome. It is transcribed by RNA polymerase I as part of the 45S precursor that also contains 18S and 28S rRNA. Lineage: Eukaryota; Fungi; Basidiomycota; Agaricomycetes; Agaricales; Amanitaceae. The record is from RNAcentral.